This 300-nucleotide ribosomal RNA is filed under the name uncultured Pyrodictium sp. RNAcentral describes it as "bacterial SSU rRNA". It matches the Rfam family "Bacterial small subunit ribosomal RNA", at positions 496 to 795 of the family's 1533-position model. The record is from RNAcentral. Lineage: Archaea; Thermoproteati; Thermoproteota; Thermoprotei; Desulfurococcales; Pyrodictiaceae.
GCUACCGCGCUGCCGUAGGCCGCGGGAAUACGUGGGGUGGAAAGGUUAGGCGGAAUUACGGGUCGGAAAGCGAACUGAGGCGGUUGGAUAAGUUCGGAGUGAAAGCCCCGGGCUCAACCUGGGAAUUGCAUGUAGAACUGUCCAGUUAGAGUCUUGUAGGUGGGGGUAGAAGUUCAGGUGUAGCGGUGAAAUGCGUAGAGAUCUGGAGGAAUACCGGUGGCGAAGGCGGCCCCCUGGACAAAGACUGACGCUCAGGUGCGAAAGCGUGGGGAGCAAACAGGAUUAGAUACCCUAGUAGUC